GGUGAAACUGCAAGUCGAGAGCGUGGGAAACCAGCAAGUUGAGAGAGGAUCCAGAAGUAACCCCUUCUAAAACGGGAAAGAUGCCUUCCGAAAGCACUUGGCCCUAAAGAGAAAACACUAGGAGGAUGGGAACCAGGGACAGAGAAGCUACUUGCUCUGCAGCUGUUUGGGCCAGAUGUGACUUGCUCCUCCUUGUUUUCCAACAUGAUUGUGAGGCCUCCCCAGCCACGUGGAACUACCUACAGGGAAGGAAAAAGCAUCCUUAUCUCUGAAAAUGGAGGAACACAGAGAAAAAUUCAAACAAACAGGCCUCGUUAAGUCCCUGCCCCAUUUAUUACCAUUAGAUAAUAUUCUUUGUCCUAUCAUAUUUCUCCAUGACUGUUCAUUCUUCAUCAAACCUAGAAUAAAAACACUCAAAUG
RNAcentral lists this long non-coding RNA (420 nucleotides) under Homo sapiens (human). RNAcentral's name for it is "HSALNT0407457". Lineage: Eukaryota; Metazoa; Chordata; Mammalia; Primates; Hominidae. The record is from RNAcentral.